Long non-coding RNA from Hippocampus zosterae (dwarf seahorse), 2128 nucleotides. RefSeq lists it as uncharacterized. NCBI's taxonomy places the organism in Eukaryota, Metazoa, Chordata, Actinopteri, Syngnathiformes, Syngnathidae. The transcript has 2 exons. The record is from RefSeq and is a predicted model, not a curated record.
UGUGUGUGUGUGUUUUUGUUUGUGUGUGAUAUUUUGACGUCGUCAUAAACCGGAUGUUUACGUUGCGAAAGAAAAGUGAAAGUAAGAGUUUUGCCUCCUUUCGGAAGCGUCGUCUUUUCCUAGGUAGUACAGUAUUUUUAUAGUUUUUUUCCUGACCUACAAUUGAAAUACUUGGCCAGAGACUCUCCAAAUUUUUUGAAGAGGGGCAUCUAUAUUUUGAGAGAACUGUCUGGAGGAAAGCUUGCCGUCACAACGCCUCGCACGAGCUCUUGUGUCGCCGUGCCCUCUCCACAGCAGCUUUGCACAUUUCUUGUAAAACAGCUGACCCUUCUCGCCGCUUACACCCACGCAGCCUUACGCAACACCCACGUAAAUCUUGGCAGCAGCCGCAAACGCUUCGCUAUUAAAGUUGCCAUCACCUUGAGACACCUGAUCGCCUGCGGCUAAUCUUCUCUGGCCUCUGUGAAGUUUUGGGGCGUGACCGCCCUCGAAACAGGAUGGCCGUUGACGAGGUGACUCAUGAAACUGUGCCAGAGUAUGCCAGGAUUCUCACCAGGACCAUUUUUUUUCCCACUACACCCCAUUCAAGUUCUGGCUUUCGUCAACCCUUAUUUUGGCGCUGCACGAUAGUCGUCAAAGUGCUCUUGUGCCGCGCAUGUCGCUCGUAAAGAUAAAUUAACAAAAUUGUUAUGCCGGGCGUGGCGAAAAUCUCGCGGAAGGAUUUGGUUUGCAACCCGUCGGAGCUUGUGAUUAAGUUAAUGUGCAACCACUCACAAAUGCUUUGGAUCAAUAAAGCUUCGGCUCGUCACGUAGCAUCAAACGACCGCCAUUUUAGUCCUUUUUUUUGUUUUGUUUUGUUUUUUUUUUGCAUGAUGUAACACACUUGUCUGUGGCUUUUAAAGUAAAGCGGAGCCUUGAGAUACGGGUGACCAGACUUAAAGAGUUUUUCAAGAAAUGACAUGAAACAGACUUUGCCUGUAGUCCACUAGCUAAAUGCUAAUGCUAACACUUGAUGUAAAAAUGUAUUUAUGGCCCUUUCAUAUAUUCAUUCAUUCAUUCAUCUUCCGAGCCGCUUGAUCCUCACUAGGGUCGCGGGGGGUGCUGGAGCCUAUCCCAGCUGUCUUCGGGCAGUAGGCGGGGGACACCCUGAAUCGGUUGCCAGCCAAUCGCAGGGCACACAGAAACGAACAACCAUUCGCACUCACACUCACACCUAGGGACAAUUUAGAGUGUUCAAUCAGCCUGCUAUGCAUAUUUUUGGAAUGUGGGAGGAUACCGGAGCACCCGGAGAAAACUCGCGCAGGCCCGGGGAGAACAUGCAAACUCCACACAGGGAGGCCGGAGCUGGAAUCGAACCCGGUACCUCUGCACUGUGAAGCCAACGUGCUAACCACUGGACUACCGGGCCGCCCCCCUUUCAUAUAUGAAUGGCACAUUUCUACAAGAUACAGUACCCACGGUCAUAUAUACUUUAUCCUCUGCAAAGAGCUGGAGGGGCAGGGCUAACAAGUUGAGGGGGUCUCAAGGUCUCAGAAAAAAAAAUCUUCACAUGUACAGUACGAAGCUCUUUUAGGCGACUUUAUUUAAGCUGUGAGGUUGCUGAUUCGGAUAGAGAACGCUUCCUGUCGCCAGUGUCAGACAAAGUGCAGGCGGUGACCUCUCGUCGCCACAUCCGUACUCAUCUCCGAUUGUAUUCACUGAGCAUUUGUUCCAUUUGAACUUAACGAGUGUGGACGAUUGAGCACGUCAACGCUUGGAUUCGUCUGCAAAUGCAACAGAGCGCUUUCCGUGUCUCCUCGUCCAAAGUCCUUGAGCAUAUAGCAGGAAAUGCCAGGAUGCUGAUUUUUGUCGAGUGGGGAAAAGGAGGAGCGGGGAACUGUGUUUGGAAUGGAAUUCAAAUGUUUCACAAUACUGUAGUGGAAAAAAAAAAAAAAAAAAGAAGCUGACUGUCAAUAUUGUGCGUGUGGAAAGCACCAAAAACGUUGCUCUUUUUCUUCACUUCUUUAUUUUUAGAUGAGUCCACUGUAAGCGACAGUAAUUACUCAAUUAGAGCGGGAACGGCUUUCACACUUCAGAACGCUAUUGGAUGAAAAAUUGCAGGCAGGAAAUUAAAAAAAAAAAAAAAACA